GUGCCAGCAGCCGCGGUAAUACGGAGGGUGCAAGCGUUAUCCGGAUUUACUGGGUUUAAAGGGUGUGUAGGCGGGCUUUUAAGUCAGUGGUGAAAUCUCCGGGCUCAACCUGGAAACUGCCAUUGAUACUAUUAGUCUUGAAUUUUGUUGAGGUAGGCGGAAUAAGUCAUGUAGCGGUGAAAUGCAUAGAUAUGACUUAGAACACCAAUUGCGAAGGCAGCUUGCUAAACAAAUAUUGACGCUGAGGCACGAAAGCGUGGGGAUCAAACAGGAUUAGAUACCCUGGUAGUCC
RNAcentral lists this ribosomal RNA (292 nucleotides) under uncultured bacterium. Its description in RNAcentral is "partial 16S ribosomal RNA". It matches the Rfam family "Bacterial small subunit ribosomal RNA", at positions 505 to 796 of the family's 1533-position model. The record is from RNAcentral.